RNAcentral lists this unclassified non-coding RNA (9771 nucleotides) under Daphnia pulex (common water flea). RNAcentral describes it as "g-protein coupled receptor Mth2-like, transcript variant X5". Lineage: Eukaryota; Metazoa; Arthropoda; Branchiopoda; Diplostraca; Daphniidae. The record is from RNAcentral.
GAGCGGUAACAAUCAGUUCACUGUGCUGCUGCAGCAGAUACAGUUGAUGUUAAAGUUUUUGUAAGUAAGCUGAAUUUCACGAAUUCGUGAUAAACUAUUUGAAUUGUUUAUCAUAUUAAGGAAAUGCCUCAUUGUGUAGUUAUUGGCUGCAUAAAUGGUCCCAAGAAAAAAAUUGGGCUAGCUUCGCUGCAGAAUAACGUUGUCGAAAAGAAAAGUAAAGUCUCAUGUUUUGGCAAACCAAAGGAUCCAAGUGUCUUGAGCAUGUGGGAAUACAACAUUCCUAGAGAAAACGGAGCUGUUUUACCAAAGCGUUACUCUGUUUGUCAUGAACACUUUGAUGAAUCUCAGGUAAUCAAAGAUGAUGUUACAAUCAUCAACGGGGAGGAAUUUAAAUUGCCAAGAAUAAACUGGAGAUUAAAAGCGGGGGCUUUCCCAACAAUCUUCAAAGGAACCCCUGAAGAGUUGCUAUUGAAAAAGAAUGGAAGAAAACCUCCUACUGUUCGAUUACCUCUUGGAAAAAAACCCAACUAUAAAACACGCCAUUCAGUUGCAUUGAAGAAGGCACAUACUGUGAAAAAAAAAGUAUCAAGAGACAAUGAGGUUGAUCAAUCUAUGGACACAAAUCCUGCCGAUUCAUUGUUAAUGGAAAAACAGCCAGAAGAACAAAUUGUAGAAAUUGAUGAACUGGAACCACCAAACCAACAUUUUUCUGCUGAUGAUGCAUACCACAUUCAAUUACCUUCAAGUUAUUGGUAUGUCAGAAAAACUACUGCUGAUAGCUGUAACUUCUUCGAAGUUGUGGUUAAAGAUGUAACCGCAGUAAUUGAAAAGAAUGUCAACAUUGAUUUCAAAAAUCACAAAGUUUCUGUAACCUUUCAAUCCAGAAAAGUUCCUAAUUUUGAGGGAUCUUGUAUUCCAAGUACUUCAAAGGGUAUGGAAGCAUUAUUGCUUAGCAUACACGAAUCGAAAAUGUGUCCUGGCAUUAUGCACAACCCUACAAAGCAUCCACAUCAUAGUGAAGUAGUUCGUAAUGGAAAUCUGAUUUCUAACAUUUGGAGAAAUAACAGCUGUAGGAUUAUGAUGGCCACCAACGAAGAAUCAAAGAAAGCCUGUCCCGGUUGUAAACUACUGGACAUUUCUUUAAGGAAACAAUUCAAACGCCAAAAAACUGUGAAUACCUUACUGAAUCACCGCUACAUGAGUCUGAAACAACUGGCUAAGAAAGUCAGUCUUCAGAAAGGAAAAAUGAAUUGCAGUUUUAAAAAAGACUCGAAAAAAAAACAACAUUCAAAUCAAAGAACUAAAUUGAAGAAUAAGGAACUUUGCGUUGAAAUCGCAUCCAUUCAGAAAGAUAACCUUCAAUCUAUACAUUCUUGACGACCUUGAUGAUAAGGUGUCCAAUUAGUGAUGAAGCUUGGGUGAGAUUAAGUGGCUGAAAUGGUCUAUGUCAUCGGAAGGAGUCAACUGAGUUCGUUCGUUCAUUUACAUUAAGUUCCAUAACAUGUAAGUUCUUGCAUUUCCAUACUAAAUUAUCUUGUCAACUUUAUGUGAACUUGGUUAUACAUGGGCCAUUUCAAAUAAUAGUCAUUAGUUUAAAAGUCAUUUGAAAGUUUUCAAUGUUCAGUCAAAGCGUUCCUUGACACUGUAAUUUUGAAUUGUGACCAUUUUUAAUCAAUGAUUAUAAGAAAAAUCAUGUACCCAUCCCACAUAUCAAUGAUAUACUAUUUUGUAUAUAUUUCAAAUGUAAUCUAAACGUAAAAAAGGAAAAACUUAACGAUCGUUAUUGCGUAAAAAAUUUUUUAAAAAGGGAAAUCCUUUGUUGUUACUGAGUGACUCCAAAGUAAAGGGACCUCCCUAAUUCCCUGAAAAACUAUCCUUUCCCUCCUCUCCUUUUUGAGAUCAAAGUUUACCCGUACGAAAAAAAACGGGGAAGGUUUUCCCUUGCUGACGUAUAUCAAACCAGGACCUAAUCCCAGUCGACAGGUUUUCAUUUAAAUUGGCUGACUUCAUUUGGAGAGAGAAAUCGCCAUCAUCAACAGGCACUCAGUGUUAGUGCUUCGGAGUAUGAACUUGAACCUCUAGAGCAGAUUAUAUCAUGGAUUUCAAUAACACGUUCGUCAUCAUCACUAGUUCGUCUGGACAAUUCAACGUCGUGCCAGCUCUUCCAACCAGAAGUCUCAACUAUUUUCUCAUCUGCCUGGCCUUUUUCAUCUUCUGCCCACUGUUUUACAUCUUGUGUCGCUUCGUCAAACUUCUGUGUUUUCCUGGAAGCGUUCCGGCGGAUGCAACGGCACUUUCGGCUGCGGAGUCCGAUGAAAACUCGGACAUUGGCGUUUACGUGAUUGACAUAGAUUUGAUCCAAGGUUACAUUAGGAAUUCAGAAACGAGCAGCGAUCGCCAAAAUCACUAUUGCUUCGCUUCGGCCACGCCUCGCGAAACUCGUCGACUUUCACCGAGCCAAAUUCCUAAAACCUGUCCGUCCUAUGGCGAACUGUACGACUUGGAUAGCCCGCCCCCAACUUACGAGGAGUGGGAAUCCAAGACUUUUUUAAACACGAUUCCGCCAGCGACGGAAUCAACUCCAGCCAGCAAAGCACCACCCAGUUUUUCUCGUUUGCAAUUCGAACAAUUGUACAGAAAUUUAAUUUAUUUUGCCUUUUACAUGUUUUAUAGGCUCAAACGUUUCGUUUAAAACAGGAAACAAUCAUCUACUGGUGUAUCUUCACGUCUUCGUGUGGUGCAACAGCGCGGGGAACUUUUGUUUCCCCCCUCAAGAAAUGGAUUUAUGUCAUCAGUUACAUCUUCCCGUAGACGACCGAACUUUGCGGGACCAUUGGACUCCCAUCCUCGGGUAUAUUUGCACGCAAGAGAACCUCGACCUGUUAGUCGUCUUCGUGAGUGAUUAUUUUUGGUGGUCUUCUUCGUUUUUUCAUACCUUUGAAUAUCCCAUGGAUCGUCAUCUCCUCCAGCGCGGUUUUUUUUUCCUUCGCCGUAACUUGCUUAGCUAAGGCUUGCUUGGUGAAGCAUCUUAAAACGGGGCAAUUAGAAAACCAGUUCGCUUCUGAGAUUAACGAGUCCCUUUCAAAUGAUGUCAUACCGAAACAAAAUCAAUCAACCUGUCCGUCUUACAACGAUUUAUUCGAGCUUGAUAAGGAACCACCAAAUUACGAAGAGUGCCAGGCCAAAAACGAAAGCAGUAACGCUGUCCCGGAGCAACCGCCACGUAAACAACGUGACCAGAGACAGAACGUCUAUUUUGCCAAAUUUUGGACAAUUCUGGGUAAUUCAAAUGAAGCUUCGUCACCCGCUUUCGAGAUAAAAGCCCCAGAAGAGUGCAACACCAACAACUUACCUCCAAUCUACGAAGAGUACCGGGCUAAUGAAAUUUCCAUCGCUAUUCCUGAUGAGAUGGCGAUGAGAGAGACGGACGCCGACACUGCUGCUGUCCGUUCAGAUGACACAUACUCGGUCUUAAUACUUCGUCUCGAUAUUUAAACCUCCACGUCCUACACCAAAUUAUAUUGAGCUUGAUAACCUACGCAGAGCUUCCAACUUGUAGAAAGAUACAAUAACUUUAAGGAGAAAUCCAAUGUUUUCCGUAUAAAAAGAAUUUGGAAGCAGAUCCCUCCAAAGAACUCCAAGACCAAAGAAAGAUGCAUUUCAACUUUGAAUAUCCGGAACGUCGAGGAUAAACGGCAUGGAUGGAAGAGACAUUUGAAGUUCGGAUUUGCCUUUCAUUUUCGGCGCGGAAUCGAAAACUUCCCCAUAGCCCGUGGAGUGAAUGCAAAAUAACUGUAAGAUGACAAAUGGGAGAGAAAUAAAAAGAUAAGGACACAUGCGCCUUCAAAGUUUUUGCGAAAGUGUCACGAAAACUGAAGUGGAUCGUUCGUGUAAUUUGCUGGAAACUGCAACCUGUACUAACCUGUAAUCGACGUUUCAUUUUAGAAGUUAGAGAUCCUUUACCCGCCUUCAAAUUGCCUUCAACACCCAAAUGGUAACUAUCUCAAGACUAUUUCCAUCUUUUAACUAAAUUAUCGUUGCUAUGCUAAAGAGUUAACCGAUUCUUUAGAAGUGUAUGCAGUUCUUUAAAAAUGCGAACAUUCGUUUUGACGUACGUGACAUUCUUCUCCGUUCGUUAUCUAGUCUCUUUUAUCCUUUGACAGCUGCAUGAAUUUUAAAAAAGCAACAGCAAAUAAGACGCACCGAUUGGUACGACCUUGGAUUGUAAGUUUCCACGUAAAAAAUUUCCCUGGGUUUUUCCGUCAAGUCUGACCGUUUCUAGUUCGAAGCUGUUCAUCGCGCUGUUCAACCUACUUUUUUUUACUGAUUGAAUGCUUAUAAUGAUCUUUUCGACUUUCAUAUCAAUGACUCUAUUUUCUUUUAAAAGAUGUUUACGAGUGUGCUGUGUAUGGGGGGGUAAUAAGUGGGUCAUCGAAUUGCGAAUUUAUUUGCCUCGAAAUUACACCGGAUGGUGUAACGAAAAGGGGAAUUUUUCCAUCCCGAAUCCUAGUGCCCACGUACCUGCCAGAGCAAGUUUCACGUCGCCGUCAAGCAUCUUCAUGAGCAGACCUGAAAGUGACGCUGAUAGCAACGGCGCUAAGUCGGCUAACAACAUGGACUCGAGUUCGCCAUUCAAAAUCUUUCACAUCACCAAGUUCAACGAUCAUUCGUCAAAUCAGUUAAAUGAAGGAAAAGAUGGAGAAUAUUCAAAGUUGAUGACGGGCACUGCUGUCACUUGCCUUGUUCUUCUAUUGGUCAUUUGUAUUUUCUUGCCCUACUGCUAUCAUAAAUGCGCAUGCAGAAAUGCUGGACGUGCGGAUGCCCCUUCGCCGUUACUUCCCAAAGCAGCACGCUCAUCCCUGUACUUCCUUACCGCCCCAGUCCUAGAAUUCCAUGAAAACGACAUGGAAGGAUUUUGGAAUUCAGAAUGUAACAUCGAAUUCGAACAAUCGCCGGUAGUCUUUAUCCCUGAGCCCGUUCAAGUUGCAAUUUCAGAAACCUGCCCGUCUUACCGCGAAGCAUUGGAGCUAAAUAAUCCUCCUCCGACGUACGAAGAAUGCAAGAAGAUUUUUUCUGCCGUUCCGGAAGUGAUUCGAAUCUCAACCGAAGUGACGGAAGCAAUUUCAAUGGACACGCCUACUCCUACGUAACAAAAUGGAACGUCUGCCGUGAUCGAGGACUAUUACGUCAUGCGUGUCAUACGGCCAACCAUAAAUCAAACUUGAAUUUGACGUAAUAAUUCCCCACUUUUGUUUUCACUCUUUCAUCCAGCUAUUGUUAUUAACAGUUCUCUUCACUCCUACCUAGCUUUAGCAUAACAUUCUGCUAAGAAUAAGGUAACUAGCAAAAUGUGCAGUGUUGCUGGGGAGGCCUUUCUGCUGUAUUAUAUGCAUUACAUUUUUUUUUUUGUGUUAUUUCCUAUUUCAUUCAUUCCGUUUGAAGUUAAACUAGGUCACUAGAAUUAAAACGACCGAUAAUUUAAAGAAAUUCUUUUAGGCGUUGUCGUGAUUACCGAAGCCUGUGGUUCGGUUUACAAAUUCACACAUCGUUUUUGUAUUUAUAAUUGAUGCUAUGUUGGGAUAUGCAAAUCUAACGUCUUAUCACACAGGAAAACAACAAAACACGAUGGAUACACGGAAAAGGAUACUGGGUAUAUGUUUUCAAGACUUAUCAGAAGGAAACCAAUGUUUGGCUAAAUUUAUUCAGGCCACAACAGGCCACAAUUAAAAGCCGAUAUUCUGAACUGCUCCUUGGCGGGAACCAAACGCUCAAUUGCAGUCUAGGAUUACCACACUCCGAUUACAUAGCUAACGCACGAAUUUUCCUUUUUUCAAUAGGCUAGUAGCAUUUAGAUGCUUUCCGAAUCAAAAGAAAAUUCUAAAAUGGAUUUCUUCCGUGGAUGUUUGACUCUAAUUGUCACGCCAUUUUUGAUCGCCACCUUAUUCGUUUAUUCAAUUCUACCAAAAAUGCGCAACAUCCACGGUGUGAACGUUAUGUGUUUUUUGGCUUCGAUGAUCUUCAUGAACAUCUCUUUUGCCUUACGCUUGCUCAUUAAAAUCAUGCCACCCGGUGUUUGUACUAUAAUAGCUAUUUCACAUCAUUUUGCCUACAUCGCCACUUUUUCUUGGCUCAACGUCUUGUGCUUUGGAGUUUGGCGGAUGUUUAGUUUCAUUAGACCACCGAAACACACAUCCGGUUUGGGUAAACGGUUUUUCUAUUCCUCCCUUUACGGAUGGGGUAUUCCGUUGGUCAUCGUGGUCGUCGGGCUAAUCGUCCAGCACAGCGAUGUGCCAGACUACAUCAUUAAACCGAGGCUUCCUUCAGGAAUGUAUUGCUGGUUUGAUCAUAAGUAUAGAGGGUCAGUAAUUGCGUAUUUGUACGGACCUUUAAUUGCUAUGAUCGGAGCCAACAAUAUCAUGAUUGUUUGGGCUGGGAUCAAGUUUUGCCAGAGAAGCGUGGAAUCGUCGCAAGUGACCAACGUUUCCCGUAAAAAACAAAGGUAUUACUUGUUUAUAACACAUCAAUUUUAUUCUCACUACCAAUCUAAUCGUAAAUGAGUCGCCCAAAUUGCAGGUUUAAAGUCAUCCUGAUCUUUGUGUUGAUGUGUCUACCGUGGUCAAUACUCAAUAGACAUGAUUUUUUUCAUGGCGGCUAUCAGUUUUAAUCGCCUGGUUGUGGGCAUAUUCAACGCAUUGCUACCAAUUUUCAUUUUCAUAAUCUUAAUCUGUAAGCCGAGCGUGUGGAAGAUGCUCAAACUCAAAUUCCCGCGUAUGAGUCCCUUCUUCUCGACCUGUGAAAAACUGGGGUCAAAGAUAGUCUGUAAGAAAAGCAAACAUCAACCACUCGUUGCUGUUGAAGAAAACUCAUCUAAUUCGAAUAACACGACCGGAAUUAAUAAAAUUGGCUAUCAACAUCCUGCCAAAGACGAAUCGACGGUCUAAAACAAUCUUCUGUGAAAUGUGAAACACAAUUCCGAUUGAAAUGGAAUAAGACAUCAUUAAUUGCGUAUAGCUUUUGAUUAGAUUACUACGCUAUAUUUUUCGUAAAAUUAAUAUUUUCGUACUCGUAGGUAGUUUCUUGAAAGGCGAGGAUAAAAAAUGUUUUUUUUUUUCUGAACAUUACGUGUUACCUGACCUAACCUAACAAAGGUGCUAUGAAGUUGUUUCACUCAACUGUAGAUGUCACUAUUGUCAUAUAAACAAAUCCAAGCAGACGAAAGUCAGCACUCGGCAGUGCCCUGCAAUGUGUUUGCAAAGUUUACACGUGGUUCAGGAAGUCAUCAAGUCAAGUACAGAAUAGUUUAUCAAAUUAAAACCAUAUAAAAAUAAGUAAUUUGUGGUUCUUUUGUGAUUGUGUGUACAACCUUUUUGUGGAUACAAAGAAUGUUGCAUUAUGAUUGAAUUCUUCACACUAAGCCGUGGUUGUUUGUUCAAUAGCUUGUGUCUUCUUACUGGUCAAUAAUUGUAUUUGGUAACCACAUGCAAAACAUAUUAUUGUAUUCCAUAGAGAGAAGUGAUCUAAACCUUUGUUUUCCACCUAUAUUACUGUAUUGUAAGAAGUUUUAUGUUCGGGAAUACUUGAUGUAAAGAGUUAUAAGUUAGUAACAAUUGUUUCAGCAGCAAGCAAAUAUUUCCCUGUUAAUAUUGAUGAGAAAAGAGAACACAAGUUUCAUGAACAGACUUGAAAGUGACAUUAAAAGUGACUAAGGCCGCUAACAUGGACUGCAGUUUCACUAUUAACAAUAAUAUCUUUUACAUUGUCACCAAUGAUCAUUCGCCAAACCAUGCAGCUAAACAAAGAUGGAGGAUAUUCAAAGUUAAUGGCAGGUACUGCUGUCACUUGCCUUGUUCUUCUAUUGGUCAUUUGUAUUUUCUUGCCCUACUGCUAUCAUAAAUGCGCAUGCACAAAAGCUGGAUGUGCGGAUGCCCCUUCGCCGUUACUUCCCAGAGCACCACAUCCAUCCCUGUACUUCCUUUCUGCCCCAGUCCUGGUAUUCCAACACAACGAUAUUGCAGGAUAUUGGAACUCAGAAUAUAACAUCGCAUUCGAACGUGCCCCGGUAGACUUCAUCCCUGAGCCCGUUCAAGUUGCAAUUGCAGAAACCUGCCCAUCCUAUCACGAUGCAUUGGAGCUAAAUAAUCCUCCUCCAACGUACGAAGAAUGCCAGCGCAAGGGAUUUUUGCUGCUGUUCCGGAAGUGAUUCGCCUAGCUCUCAACCGAAGCACCUUGCUUGACCAAAACAUUCUGCUAAGAAUAAGGCAUUGUCGUGAUUACGGAAGCCUGUGGGUGGGCGUAAAAUCUAACACAUCCUAAAAUGACGCUCUGUUGGGAUAUCCAAAUCAAACGUCUUAUCAACCGGAAAACAACGAAAUAGGACUACACGUGAAAGAGUAUACUGGUAUUUUUCAAGACUUCUCAGAAGGAAACCAUUGUUUUGCUAAUAAUAUAGAAAUGCCACUAUUCUGAACUACUCAUUGGCGGGCACCAACCGCUCACUUCCGGCCUAAGACACCACAUUCCCAUAGCUAUAUACGCCUUAAUAUAUUUUUUGUUAUUUCCAUAGUCUCAAAUAGUAGCGCUUAUAGAUGUUUACCGGGACAAAGUGGAAAGUCUAAGAUGGAGUUUCUCCUUGGAUGUUUUACUCUCUUUGCUUCGUUAUUUUUGAUCGCAACUUUGAUCGUUUAUUCUCUUCUAGAAAAAAUACGAAAUAUCCACGGUGUGAUUGUUAUGUGUUUUUUGGCCUCCCUUACCGUCAUGAACAUCUCCUGCUCCAUUCGUCGCUUGCUCAUUGGAAUCCCGUCGACCGGUCUUUGCCUUACGAUUGCAAUUUCACAGCAUUUUUCCUUUAUCGCCACUUAUUCUUGGCUCAACGUCGUGUGCUUUGGAGUUUGGCGGAUGUUUCGUACCGUCUCACUGCCUACUCAUAAACCCAUCUGGGGCAAACAGUUUUUCUAUUCUUCCGUUUACGGAUGGGGUAUUCCGUUGGUCAUCGUGGUCGUCGGGCAAAUCGUCCAAAACUGUGAUGUGCCAGACUACAUCAUCAAACCAGGACUGGCUUCAAAAAUGUAUUGCUGGUUUGAUCGUGAGGAUAGAGAACCAAAAAAUGUGUAUUUGUACGGACCUAUAGUUGCCAUGGUCGGAGCAAACUAUAUCAUGAUUAUUUGGGCUGGGAUCAAAUUUUGCCAGAGAAGCGUGGAAUCGUCACAAGUGACCAACGUUUCCCGUAAUAAACAAAGGUUUAAAGUGAUCCUGAAUCUCUUUUUGUUAAUGUGUAUGCCCUGGUCAGUAGGCGUAAUUGUUUGCGUGGCGGGUAACAAUAUCGACUACGAGAUUUUGAGAACAUCCAACAUACUGUGGCCAAUUUUCAUUUUCAUCAUCUUCGUCUGUAAGCCGAGCGUGUGGAAGAUGCUGAAAUUGAAAUUCCCGUGGAUUAGUCCCUUCCUCUCGACUUGUGAAAAAUUGGGGUCAAAGAUAAUCUGUAUGAAAAGCAAACAUCAACCACUCGUUACUGUUACAAGGAACCAAUUGAACUCGAUUAACAUGGCUGGCAUUAGUGGUAAGUUUACCCAAAUUGGCUAUCAACGCCAUACUGAAUCGACGGUCUGAAACAAACAUGCGUCUAACUACCUCCACCUGUGAUAUACACAAAAAAUUCCGUAAUAACGAUGAAUAUAUAAUACGAUUAUCUAUGAGAAUGUUGUUGUGAAAAGUGGAUAUUGAUUUGAAAACAACAAGUUUAAUGCAAUAAAUAAUGGAAAAGUUUUAUCCUUA